GACGAACGCUGGCGGCGUGCCUGACACAUGCAAGUCGGACGGUUCUUGCACCUUCAAGCUUGCUUGCUGGUGCAGGGAUAGUGGCGGACGGGUGAGUAACGCGUGAACAUCUACCCAUUGGAGGGGGGACAACCCGUCGAAAGGCGGGCUAAUACCGCGUAAGCCGUGAGGUGAGAGGCUGCCUAUUGGUGGCCGCCGAUGGAUGGGUUCGCGUCCUAUCAGCUGGUUGGUGGGGUAACGGCCUACCAAGGCGAAGACGGGUAGCCGGUCUGAGAGGAUGGCCGGCCACACUGGAACUGAGACACGGUCCAGACUCCUACGGGAGGCAGCAGUGGGGAAUAUUGGGCAAUGGGGGUAACCCUGACCCAGCGACGCCGCGUGAGGGACGAAGGUUUUCGGAUCGUAAACCUCUGUUGUACGGGAAGAAGGAUGUGACGGUACCGUACGAGAAAGCCCCGGCAAACUACGUG
This 470-nucleotide ribosomal RNA is filed under the name uncultured bacterium. Its description in RNAcentral is "bacterial SSU rRNA". It matches the Rfam family "Bacterial small subunit ribosomal RNA", at positions 28 to 507 of the family's 1533-position model. The record is from RNAcentral.